GGAGCCCUAAAUAACAUAAAAUUUCAAGUCAUGCUUGAGCACAAUGAUUGUGUAAGAUCCCAUCAAAUGCUAUGUUUCUCUCUUCUGUUCUGUACCAUAUUUGUUCAACGCAUGAAUCUUGCCUGAAGGUGUCAGGGUGCCUAACCUUGUUAGCCAAGGAAUGUCAUUUCAGGUACUGGACCUGUCUCAGUCCCCUGGGUCAGUCCAGUAUCCAUCAGUCGGGGCCAAUGUACCAACACAUUUCGAGGAGGAAGAAGAAGAAGAGAAAGGAACAUAUGGCGGUGGAGGAAGAGCAAGACGAAGAGGAGGAAGGAGAAGAAAGAAGAAAAAGGAAGAAUAGGAGGCAGUGGAGGAAGGAGGAGGAGAAGAAAAGGAAGCUCCUCAUUUUUUAUCUGAUCCCAAGUUUGAUUGUGGAACUCUUAUAAGUAUGGCAUAAAACAAGAAAAUUGAAUGUUAGUGAUGUAUGACACAUGACAGAAAGGGGUAAAAGGAUAUUAUAGGAUUUAAUUCGGUUCAUGGUCAAUUUUCAAGGUCGCUGAAAUCUUUAAAUCAUAUUUGAUUUUUAUGAAAGGACAAAUAUAAACUAGGACUAGUAUAAAGGAAGAAGAAAUUUUAGAUGAUCCAUAUACAUACUCACUUUGACUUUGAGAAUCACUCAUAGGAUUAAAAACAAUGGUAACACACCAUUAUGAAGAAAUUUCUUCUAUUGAUCUAAACUCCAAUUGCUUCACCACUUCAUUUGCUUAUAACCUUUUACCCUUCAAAUAGAUCCUCAAUUACAAGCAGAAAAAAGAAAAACAAAAGAACUAAAAAAAGAGUUCACUUAAGAAGAUACUAUUCCAUGAGCCAAGGCUAAUCGAUCACCCACAUUUCAUUCUCAGAAGAACUAUUUUCAAAUUUGUUCAAAAUUCCUUUUUAUACAUAUUCUUUAUUGCUAUUAAUUUCCUUCUUUGGAUAGAAUCUUCAAUUGAGAUCAUUAUUCCUUUUCUUCCAUUUUCAUUUGGCUACUCUUUCUUCCCUUGAACAAUCGUAUAAUUGAAAAUACAUAUGAUGUUGCCAUGUAACAAAUUUUGACAUUUGAAAAAAAAAUAAAACAAAAUUAAAAUUAAUAUAAAACAAAAAUGGUUCCUACACCAAAUAGUUCAUGCUGUAUGGUAAUGAAACACCUCAUGUUUUAAUUAAAAAUACCUCUUUCCUUGCAGACUAAGCAAGCAUAAGAGGAAUGCCGGAGAAGCAACAAAUUAUUCAAACAACUCAUUUUGGACCUUUCCUUUUACAAAUAUCAAGCAUUGAAUGUAAGUUCUUCAUAAGGUAAAAGAUUUAUUACAGUUUCAUGUCAAUCAUUUCAAGUUGUAGCAUGGGACUUGGACUUGCAUUGUCACUCUAGGCCCCUAGAGACUCAAGUCAUGAAACUCUUAUUUUUCACUGGCAAAGAUGUUAAUUAUCCCAAUGGAGCUUUUUGUUGUGCUAAAGUUGUUCAACAUCAUGAAUCUGGAGUCAACAUAAUGAAGGCAUGAAAACUUUGAUUAUCUGAAACCAUGUUGACAGAGCCUCCAAUUAUGAGACAAAUUUAAAAGUAAAUGAAGUAGAGGAAAAUAGAAGAAAGAUAUAAAAAGAUAGAAUAAAUGAGAAAUGAGAAUUGGAGAAAACAAAAAAAUCCAGCAUGUCAUAAAUCAUCAUUAUUAACUCAUAAUUUAUCGGUCAUGAUUUCUCUUAAGACUCAUUGUAGACAAGUAUCCUAGUCUUAGAAUAAUUCCCAACAAAUCUAAAUGACCCUAAAACUUUACAAGAAUAUCUGGAACUUCAAAUCACUUCAAGAUACCAUAAAACUCUAUUUUAAUGUUUACAAUCCAGAUGCAGGACAUCAAAGUUUUGACUGGAUCAGGUGAUACAAACACUACCAUAGCUACUUGAACAAUGACAAGAUGGAACCUAAUGAAAAGGGAAGAGAUAAUAUAAAGACCCAUAGGCACUCUAUAAACUUAGUGAAGAGACUGAAUUGAACAAGAACUUAAUAUGACUCAAACGAAACAUGUUCAACACAAGACAAGGUCACAUAUCUACCAUGAAGAACCAAAAUUGAUUAUAUUGCACCAUAAACUACUUCUUCCUUAUUAUAGUGCAAUACAGAAGAAAGUUCGCCAAAUAAAAGUUCUGCCUGCAACUGAAGAGUCUUUGACUGGUGCAGUUAGCAGCUAUCAAAUGACAGACAUAAAGUAUCUAAAAGUUCCUUAGACUAUAAACUUAAUGAAGAGACUGAAUUGAACAAGAACUUAAUAUGACUCAAACGAAACAUGUUCAACACAAGACAAGGUCACAUAUCUACCAUGAAGAACCAAAAUUGAUUAUAUUGCACCAUAAACUACUUCUUCCUUAUUAUAGUGCAAUACAGAAGAAAGUUCACCAAAUAAAAGUUCUGCCUGCAACUGAAGAGCCUUUGACUGGUGCAGUCAGCAGCUAUCAAAUGACAUACAUAAAGUAUCUAAAAGUUCCUUAGACCAAGAUUUGACAAAAGGCAACUUUUGGCUAGAUAAAGCCAUCUACUUGCAAACAUUAACAAGCCAAGCUUGACUAACAGAUUCUAUUAGGCACAGAUCAACUUGUUUAUGGCAUAAACAGAGCUGUUCACAAACAGAUCAAUUUCAAAAACCUUCCACCAUACUAAGUGCUAAAAUCAACAGUCUUUUUAACAACCAUGCUAUGACAGAAAAAAUAACAAGAAGGUAUGCCCACUUUAUCAAUUAUGCUAGCCUAGAGCAUAGAACCACAAAUGAUCCAAUAAAGUGAGAAUAUUAUCAGGAUGAACAUUCAUGAGUACCUUACAAUGUCAAAGAACAACAUAUAGUGAUAACAGUUCACCAAAAGCAUCUUUACCAAUAGAUGCUGCUACAUUAAGGCCCAAACUCAUGCUGAUAUAAUCAUGCCUACAUAGUUCAGAAUGGCACUGUACCAUGGAGUCCAAUAGAAGCAUGGCAUAUUAUAAUUUAAAAUGAAGAGGAUAACAUGCCGUACACAGAACUAUAAUCACACUCAUAAAACUCAAUUUUGUCUCGACCAAUUCAUACCGGCCCAUAUAUACAGGUCUCAGCAUGAACCAGGAAACAUACCAGCCCUUUUUUGGGCAAUUGAAUCCCUUUUUUUGGCAUGACCUGCAGCAGUGCAACUUAUGGUUUAAACAUGGCAGGCAAUCGCACGCUGCCACCUGCCUGAACUGCAGGCCCACCCACCUGCCACCUUCUAAUCCACCUUCACCUCCUAUUCUUCUCCUUUUCCUCCAUUCCUCCUCUUCCUCUCUUCCCUCCCGCUCCCCCUCCUCCCCUUUUCUUGGUACAACAGGCAGCACCAACUUACAAUAUACCAUGUGUUAAUAUGCCAACAUUGGCCAGAACAAUACUGGUCCGGUCAUAAAUUAGUAGGGAUCUGGUAACAAAACCAAAGUUACCCCACAAAAAUACCAAAAAGUAAUGCAAAGGACUUAUUCAUGUCAUA
Molecule: long non-coding RNA, 3489 nt
Filed under: Musa acuminata (dwarf banana)
Lineage: Eukaryota; Viridiplantae; Streptophyta; Magnoliopsida; Zingiberales; Musaceae
Description: long non-coding RNA (MACU_LNC003498)
Source: RNAcentral